GGGGUAGUAGCUCAGUUGGCUAGAGCACCACGUUCGCAACGUGGGGGUCAUGGGUUCGAAUCCCACCUACUCCACCA
Molecule: transfer RNA, 77 nt
Filed under: Lentisphaeria bacterium
Lineage: Bacteria; Pseudomonadati; Lentisphaerota; Lentisphaeria
Description: tRNA-Ala
Rfam family: tRNA
About the family: Transfer RNA (tRNA) molecules are approximately 80 nucleotides in length. Their secondary structure includes four short double-helical elements and three loops (D, anti-codon, and T loops). Further hydrogen bonds mediate the characteristic L-shaped molecular structure. tRNAs have two regions of fundamental functional importance: the anti-codon, which is responsible for specific mRNA codon recognition, and the 3' end, to which the tRNAs corresponding amino acid is attached (by aminoacyl-tRNA synthetases). tRNAs cope with the degeneracy of the genetic code in two manners: having more than one tRNA (with a specific anti-codon) for a particular amino acid; and 'wobble' base-pairing, i.e. permitting non-standard base-pairing at the 3rd anti-codon position.
Source: RNAcentral